Molecule: ribosomal RNA, 465 nt
Filed under: Vreelandella stevensii
Lineage: Bacteria; Pseudomonadati; Pseudomonadota; Gammaproteobacteria; Oceanospirillales; Halomonadaceae
Description: partial 16S ribosomal RNA
Rfam family: Bacterial small subunit ribosomal RNA
Source: RNAcentral
UCUACGGGUGGCAGCAGUGGGGAAUAUUGGACAAUGGGCGAAAGCCUGAUCCAGCCAUGCCGCGUGUGUGAAGAAGGCCUUCGGGUUGUAAAGCACUUUCAGUGGGGAAGAAAGCCUUGGGGCUAAUACCCUCGAGGAAGGACAUCACCCACAGAAGAAGCACCGGCUAACUCCGUGCCAGCAGCCGCGGUAAUACGGAGGGUGCGAGCGUUAAUCGGAAUUACUGGGCGUAAAGCGCGCGUAGGCGGUCUGAUAAGCCGGUUGUGAAAGCCCCGGGCUCAACCUGGGAACGGCAUCCGGAACUGUCAGGAUAGAGUGCAGGAGAGGAAGGUAGAAUUCCCGGUGUAGCGGUGAAAUGCGUAGAGAUCGGGAGGAAUACCAGUGGCGAAGGCGGCCUUCUGGACUGACACUGACGCUGAGGUGCGAAAGCGUGGGUAGCAAACAGGAUUAGAUACCCCAGUAGUC